ACAACCGAGGUGCAAAGGCUGUCGCUGACCCUCAAAGGUUGUGCACGCCCGAGCGCUCUCACACAAUCCAUCUCACCUUUGUGCAUCACCGCGUGGGUCCCCUUUGCGGGAGGGCUCGCGUUUUCACAUAAUAACUCGAUACAGUGUAGAAUGUUUCUUUUGCGGUCACACGCAAUCAAUACAACUUUCAACAACGGAUCUCUUGGCUCUCGCAUCGAUGAAGAACGCAGCGAAAUGCGAUACGUAAUGUGAAUUGCAGAAUUCAGUGAAUCAUCGAAUCUUUGAACGCACCUUGCGCCCCUUGGCAUUCCGAGGGGCACACCCGUUUGAGUGUCGUGAAUUCUUCAAAACCCUUUUUUCUUCGAACCAUCGUGGUCGGGAAAAGGAUUUUUGGACUUGGAGGUUUAAUGCUCGCCCUUUCUUUUGAAAGCGAGCUCCUCUCAAAUGAAUUAGUGGGGUCCGCUUUGCUGAUCCUUGACGUGAUAAAAUGUUUCUACGUUUUGGGUUUAGCACUGUCGCUUGGNUGCCUGCUCCUAACCCGUCUCAUUGACAAUGAUGGUGCUCUGGUCACUGCCGUCUACAUCGGCGGGAGGCUGGACCACAAAAGAAAANCCUUGA
This 618-nucleotide ribosomal RNA is filed under the name uncultured Russula. RNAcentral's name for it is "eukaryotic LSU rRNA". The stretch from base 183 to 336 matches the Rfam family "5.8S ribosomal RNA". Lineage: Eukaryota; Fungi; Basidiomycota; Agaricomycetes; Russulales; Russulaceae. The record is from RNAcentral.